RNAcentral lists this ribosomal RNA (495 nucleotides) under uncultured bacterium. Its description in RNAcentral is "partial 16S ribosomal RNA". It matches the Rfam family "Bacterial small subunit ribosomal RNA", at positions 28 to 507 of the family's 1533-position model. The record is from RNAcentral.
GACGAACGCUGGCGGCGUGCCUAAUACAUGCAAGUCGAACGCUGAGGGCGGAGCUUGCUUCCUCGGAUGAGUUGCGAACGGGUGAGUAACGCGUAGGUAACCUGCCUGGUAGCGGGGGAUAACUAUUGGGAACGAUAGCUAAUACCGCAUAAUAGCAGUUGUUGCAUGACAACUGUUUGAAAGGUGCAAUUGCACCACUACCAGAUGGACCUGCGUUGUAUUAGAUAGUUGGUGGGGUAACGGCUCACCAAGGCGACGAUACAUCGCCGACCUGGGAGGGGGGUCGGCCACACUUGGACUUGGACCCGGCCCAGACUCCUACGGGGGGCAGCAGUAGGGAAUCUUCGGCAAUGGACGGAAGUCUGACCGAACAACGCCGCGGGAGUGAAGAAGGUUUUCGGAUCGUAAAGCCCUGUUGUAAGAGGAGAACGAGUGUGGGAAUGGAAAGUUCACACUGUGACGGUAUCUUACCAGAAAGGGACGGCUAACUACGUG